RNAcentral lists this ribosomal RNA (500 nucleotides) under uncultured Glomeromycotina. RNAcentral's name for it is "partial small subunit ribosomal RNA". It matches the Rfam family "Eukaryotic small subunit ribosomal RNA", at positions 591 to 1092 of the family's 1831-position model. The record is from RNAcentral. Lineage: Eukaryota; Fungi; Glomeromycota.
CCAAUAGCGUAUAUUAAAGUUGUUGCAGUUAAAAAGCUCGUAGUUGAAUUUCGGGGUCAGUAGGUUGGUCAUGCCACUGGUAUGUACUGGUCUCACUGAUUCCUCCUUCCUGAUGAGCCGUAAUGCCAUUAAUUUGGUGUUGCGAGGAAUCUGGACUGUUACUUUGAAAAAAUUAGAGUGUUUAAAGCAGGCUAACGCUUGAAUACAUUAGCAUGGAAUAUUGAAAUAGGACGUUCGAUCUUAUUUUGUUGGUUUCUAAGAUUGACGUAAUGAUUAAUAGGGAUAGUUGGGGGCAUUAGUAUUCAAUUGUCAGAGGUGAAAUUCUUGGAUUUAUUGAAGACUAACUACUGCGAAAGCAUUUGCCAAGGAUGUUUUCAUUAAUCAAGAACGAAAGUUAGGGGAUCGAAGACGAUCAGAUACCGUCGUAGUCUUAACCAUAAACUAUGCCGACUAGGGAUCGGAUGAUGUUAAUUUUUUAAUGACUCAUUCGGCGCCUUACG